RNAcentral lists this ribosomal RNA (492 nucleotides) under uncultured bacterium. RNAcentral's name for it is "partial 16S ribosomal RNA". It matches the Rfam family "Bacterial small subunit ribosomal RNA", at positions 29 to 507 of the family's 1533-position model. The record is from RNAcentral.
AGUGAACGCUGGCGAUAGGCCUAACACAUGCAAGUCGAACGGCAGCACAGUAAGAGCUUGCUCUUACGGGUGGCGAGUGGCGGACGGGUGAGGAAUACAUCGGAAUCUACUUUUUCGUGGGGGAUAACGUAGGGAAACUUACGCUAAUACCGCAUACGACCUACGGGUGAAAGCAGGGGAUCUUCGGACCUUGCGCGAUUGAAUGAGCCGAUGUCGGAUUAGCUAGUUGGCGGGGUAAAGGCCCACCAAGGCGACGAUCCGUAGCUGGUCUGAGAGGAUGAUCAGCCACACGGGAACUGAGACACGGUCCAGACUCCUACGGGAGGCAGCAGUGGGGAAUAUUGGACAAUGGGCGCAAGCCUGAUCCAGCCAUACCGCGUGGGUGAAGAAGGCCUUCGGGUUGUAAAGCCCUUUUGUUGGGAAAGAAAAGCAGCAGGUUAAUACCCCGCUGUUCUGACGGUACCCAAAGAAUAAGCACCGGCUAACUUCGUG